This 1087-nucleotide long non-coding RNA is filed under the name Marmota monax (woodchuck). The record is from RNAcentral. Lineage: Eukaryota; Metazoa; Chordata; Mammalia; Rodentia; Sciuridae.
CCAGGCCUGGAGCAGGGAAGGAAAGGAUGAAAGGGGACGAGACCCCUUGUCUCUGAAGUUUCUUAACUUCUAUGUUCCCUCCCCUCUCUCUGACAUUCCUGAAAGAUUACCAGCCAGCAAUCGCCCAGGGCUCCCCCAAAAGAAUUGUUUUAGAUUGUAAUUACCAGUUAGGCAAUGUUUUUAAAACUUAGUAAUGAGAAACUGUGAAAAGAGCCAAGUGUUACAUUGAGCUUGGGGUGGGAGAUUGGGGAACAGGCUGUAAAGGAGGGAGGCAGGGGUGGAAUUCAUCUUCCGGAAGGAAGCAGGAGAGAGCACACAGAGAAAUUGAAAUACCCAUUCCCAGGUAGUCAAAACCAUGAACUUUCCCCUAGCCUGCCCAGUACUGUUUUCAAAUACUGCCCCUGAGAAGGCCCUUUGAAGAGUGAGCUCCUCAUCUUUGACCAUGAAAUGGUUUAAAUGGGGGAACUUGUACCAACUGUUAAAGAAUGUUUUGGGUUAUCCUAAGUGGUUUGCUCUCUCCCCAUCUAAACCUGUUGCUUAUUUGGUUCAGAGAACUACAAACUGUCCAAGAAUGGGUGAGAAUGAUAAUAAAUGCUAAUAUAAAAUGCUAAGAAAAUAAAAAAAGGACUUGGCCAGGAGAAAUAAUUUAAAAUGCACAUUUGCUUUGGAUGCACUGUUGUUCUGAUAAGGCUGUAUAUAUUUGUUUAUUUAAGGUGACUGAAAGUGCAAAGAGGAAAUGGACAGCAUGCAAUUCAUCUUAAUGUACAAAACGUUAUAUGCACUCAAAUGUUAUAAUUUCUAAUAUUUUUAAAGUUUAUAUUCGAGUUGUACAAAGUUAAGCAUUAAUCAGAUAUUUCAUUCUUUCAUAAAGUUAUCAUUUUCUUAAAUAUUAUUACAAAAUUUUAAGUCUGUCUAAUGGAGAGUUUUCUUUUAAACUGUCUACCUCACUAUAAUACAAAUAUUUACAACACUAAAGUUACCAGAGGUCAAUUAAUAUUCAAAACAUUUUUAUAGUACACCUUUCCUGGAUGAUAUACGAUCUGAUUAAUACUAUAUUAUUAAACUCAUUUCCCCCUUAAUAACUCAG